Hucho hucho (huchen) is the source of this 137-nucleotide small nucleolar RNA. NCBI's taxonomy places the organism in Eukaryota, Metazoa, Chordata, Actinopteri, Salmoniformes, Salmonidae. The record is from Ensembl.
UGCAGCCUUGUCAAAUUCAGUGCUUCCUCUACAAUGGACUGUACUGGCCAGAAUGGCUGCCACAGUGAAACUGUAGUUCAUGGGCCUCACAUUCCUUUUCUAUGGAUGUUGGGGAUACUUUUGUGCUAUAGACAGUU